GCCAAAUGAGUGACUUAAUGGUCUGAGUGUUGGACUGUGACACUGGAGACCUGGGUUCGAUUCCUAGCUUGGCC
Molecule: non-coding RNA, 74 nt
Organism: Phrynosoma platyrhinos (Desert horned lizard)
Lineage: Eukaryota; Metazoa; Chordata; Lepidosauria; Squamata; Phrynosomatidae
Source: the annotation of a GenBank genome assembly